RNAcentral lists this small RNA (168 nucleotides) under human gut metagenome. RNAcentral's name for it is "Clostridiales-1 RNA". It matches the Rfam family "Clostridiales-1 RNA". The record is from RNAcentral.
GAUACCAGGGUCAAAAGGUCAAAAAGCCGUUCAUGCUUGCAUGAUAAGGCUUUUGAACUUGGGACCCGCCAAACAUGAGAAAGUAGCGAUUUACGCAGUAAAUCAGCGGAUUUCGAAUGUUUGUAGAAUUGUGAGAGCUGCUUCGCAGCGGAACAAUUCGCAGGCAUC